Molecule: non-coding RNA, 29 nt
Filed under: Mus musculus (house mouse)
Lineage: Eukaryota; Metazoa; Chordata; Mammalia; Rodentia; Muridae
Source: RNAcentral
CAGUAUGUUUGCAGUGUGCAUUUGUGUGU